AUACCGCAUAACAACUUGGACCGCAUGGUCCGAGCUUGAAAGAUGGCUUCGGCUAUCACUUUUGGAUGGUCCCGCGGCGUAUUAGCUAGAUGGUGGGGUAACGGCUCACCAUGGCAAUGAUACGUAGCCGACCUGAGAGGGUAAUCGGCCACAUUGGGACUGAGACACGGCCCAAACUCCUACGGGAGGCAGCAGUAGGGAAUCUUCCACAAUGGACGAAAGUCUGAUGGAGCAACGCCGCGUGAGUGAAGAAGGGUUUCGGCUCGUAAAACUCUGUUGUUAAAGAAGAACAUAUCUGAGAGUAACUGUUCAGGUAUUGACGGUAUUUAACCAGAAAGCCACGGCUAACUACGUGCCAGCAGCCGCGGUAAUACGUAGGUGGCAAGCGUUGUCCGGAUUUAUUGGGCGUAAAGCGAGCGCAGGCGGUUUUUUAAGUCUGAUGUGAAAGCCUUCGGCUCAACCGAAGAAGUGCAUCGGAAACUGGGAAACUUGAGUGCAGAAGAG
This 504-nucleotide ribosomal RNA is filed under the name Lactiplantibacillus plantarum. RNAcentral's name for it is "bacterial SSU rRNA". It matches the Rfam family "Bacterial small subunit ribosomal RNA", at positions 166 to 656 of the family's 1533-position model. The record is from RNAcentral. Lineage: Bacteria; Bacillati; Bacillota; Bacilli; Lactobacillales; Lactobacillaceae.